AGCCUGUUUAUCAAAAACAUUUCUUUUUGGUGUUUUAAAAGGUAAGGCCUGCCCACUGAUGUUUUGAAGGGCCGCGGUAUUAUGACCGUGCUAAGGUAGCAUAAUCAUUAGUUUCUUAAUUAGAAAAUGGAAUGAAUGGCUAAACCUUGAAAUUUUUUAUUAGACUAAAUAUUUUGAAUUUUAGAAAAAAGUGAAAACGCUUAAUUACUUUUAAAAGACGAUAAGACCCUAUAGAGCUUAAUACUUUGUUUUAUAAAAAUUUUAGGGGGAAAAAUUUUUAUAAAACAAAGUAUUUAGUUGGGGCAACUUUAGAAUAAAUGAAACUUCUAUUAAAAACUUAAAUUUUAAAUAUAAAAAAGUUACCUUAGGGAUAACAGCGUAAUAAUUUUUGAGAGUUCUAAUCGACAAAAUUGUUUGCGACCUCGAUGUUGAAUUAAAAAAUCUUUUGGGUGUAGCAGUUUAAAAAGACAGUCUGUUCGACUAAUAAAAUUUUACAUGAUUUGAGUUCAAACCGGCGAUUUGU
RNAcentral lists this ribosomal RNA (523 nucleotides) under Homidia anhuiensis. Its description in RNAcentral is "partial 16S ribosomal RNA". It matches the Rfam family "Bacterial large subunit ribosomal RNA", at positions 1797 to 2626 of the family's 2925-position model. Lineage: Eukaryota; Metazoa; Arthropoda; Collembola; Entomobryomorpha; Entomobryidae. The record is from RNAcentral.